RNAcentral lists this ribosomal RNA (460 nucleotides) under uncultured bacterium. RNAcentral describes it as "partial 16S ribosomal RNA". It matches the Rfam family "Bacterial small subunit ribosomal RNA", at positions 338 to 795 of the family's 1533-position model. The record is from RNAcentral.
CCUACGGGUGGCAGCAGUGAGGAAUAUUGGUCAAUGGACGGAAGUCUGAACCAGCCAAGUCGCGUGAAGGAUGACUGCCCUAUGGGUUGUAAACUUCUUUUAUAUGGGAAUAAAACGUUCCACGUGUGGGAGUUUGUAUGUACCAUAUGAAUAAGGAUCGGCUAACUCCGUGCCAGCAGCCGCGGUAAUACGGAGGAUCCGAGCGUUAUCCGGAUUUAUUGGGUUUAAAGGGAGCGUAGGUGGAUUGUUAAGUCAGUUGUGAAAGUUUGCGGCUCAACCGUAAAAUUGCAGUUGAAACUGGCAGUCUUGAGUACAGGAGAGGUGGGCGGAAUUCGUGGUGUAGCGGUGAAAUGCUUAGAUAUCACGAAGAACGCCGAUUGCGAAGGCAGUCCACUGGACUGCAACUGACACUGAGGCUCGAAAGUGUGGGGAUCAAACAGGAUUAGAUACCCGAGUAGUC